AUUGAACGCUGGCGGCAUGCUUUACACAUGCAAGUCGAACGGUAACAGGCCUUCGGGUGCUGACGAGUGGCGAACGGGUGAGUAAUGCAUAGGAACGUACCCAGAGGUGGGGGAUAACGCAGCGAAAGCUGUGCUAAUACCGCAUGUGAUCUGAGGAUGAAAGCGGGGGACCGAGCAGCAAUGUUUGGCCUCGCGCCUUUGGAGCGGCCGAUGUCGGAUUAGCUAGUUGGUGGGGUAAAGGCCUACCAAGGCGACGAUCCGUAGCUGGUCUGAGAGGACGACCAGCCACACUGGGACUGAGACACGGCCCAGACUCCUACGGGAGGCAGCAGUGGGGAAUUUUGGACAAUGGGCGCAAGCCUGAUCCAGCAAUGCCGCGUGCGGGAAGAAGGCCUUCGGGUUGUAAACCGCUUUUGGCAGGAACGAAACGGUGUCCGCUAAUACCGGGCGCUAAUGACGGUACCUGCAGAAUAAGCACCGGCUAACUACGUG
This 492-nucleotide ribosomal RNA is filed under the name uncultured bacterium. RNAcentral's name for it is "partial 16S ribosomal RNA". It matches the Rfam family "Bacterial small subunit ribosomal RNA", at positions 29 to 507 of the family's 1533-position model. The record is from RNAcentral.